CCUACGGGAGGCAGCAGUGGGGAAUUUUGGACAAUGGGCGAAAGCCUGAUCCAGCCAUUCCGCGUGAGUGAAGAAGGCCUUCGGGUUGUAAAGCUCUUUCGCAAGGGAAGAAAACUUAGUCUCUAACAUAGACUGAGGUUGACGGUACCUUGAUAAGAAGCACCGGCUAACUACGUGCCAGCAGCCGCGGUAAUACGUAGGGUGCGAGCGUUAAUCGGAAUUACUGGGCGUAAAGCGUGCGCAGGCGGUUUUGUAAGUCAGAUGUGAAAUCCCCGAGCUCAACUUGGGAACUGCGUUUGAAACUACAAGACUAGAAUAUGUCAGAGGGGGGUAGAAUUCCACGUGUAGCAGUGAAAUGCGUAGAGAUGUGGAGGAAUACCAAUGGCGAAGGCAGCCCCCUGGGAUAAUAUUGACGCUCAUGCACGAAAGCGUGGGGAGCAAACAGGAUUAGAUACCCUGGUAGUCCACGCCCUAAACGAUGUCUACUAGUUGUUGGUGGAGUAAAAUCCAUGAGUAACGCAGCUAACGCGUGAAGUAGACCGCCUGGGGGAGGUACGGUCGCGAGAAGUUAAAACGUUAAAAGGUAAAGUUAGUACGGCGUGAGACGUGACCGACGGACGACGACGAGGGAGGUUAGGG
This 639-nucleotide ribosomal RNA is filed under the name uncultured bacterium. RNAcentral describes it as "bacterial SSU rRNA". The stretch from base 1 to 544 matches the Rfam family "Bacterial small subunit ribosomal RNA", at positions 338 to 873 of the family's 1533-position model. The record is from RNAcentral.